CAGCCAAUACAGUAUUGAAACACCAGUUCUACGAUCGCCGAAGUUAAGCAACGUCGAGCCUGGUCAGUACCAAGAUGGAUCACCACAUGGGAAUACUAGAGGCUGUUA
Molecule: non-coding RNA, 108 nt
Organism: Acanthosepion pharaonis
Lineage: Eukaryota; Metazoa; Mollusca; Cephalopoda; Sepiida; Sepiidae
Source: the annotation of a GenBank genome assembly